GGGCCCGUAGCUCAGCCAGGUCAGAGCGUCCGGCUCAUAACCGGGUGGUCGUGGGUUCGAAUCCCACCGGGCCCA
Molecule: transfer RNA, 75 nt
Filed under: Hadesarchaea archaeon
Lineage: Archaea; Methanobacteriati; Hadarchaeota (SeqCode); Hadarchaeia (SeqCode)
Description: tRNA-Met
Rfam family: tRNA
About the family: Transfer RNA (tRNA) molecules are approximately 80 nucleotides in length. Their secondary structure includes four short double-helical elements and three loops (D, anti-codon, and T loops).
Source: RNAcentral